This 253-nucleotide ribosomal RNA is filed under the name uncultured bacterium. RNAcentral describes it as "partial 16S ribosomal RNA". It matches the Rfam family "Bacterial small subunit ribosomal RNA", at positions 524 to 776 of the family's 1533-position model. The record is from RNAcentral.
UACGGGGGGGGCAAGCGUUGUUCGGAAUUACUGGGCGUAAAGGGCUCGUAGGCGGCCAACUAAGUCGGAUGUGAAAUCCCCAAGCUUAACUUGGGAACUGCAUCCGAUACUGGAUGGCUUGAAUCCGGGAGAGGGAUGCAGAAUUCCAGGUGUAGCGGUGAAAUGCGUAGAUAUCUGGAGGAAUACCGGUGGCGAAGGCGGCAUCCUGGACCGGCAUUGACGCUGAGGAGCGAAAGUGUGGGGAGCGAACAGG